This 202-nucleotide ribosomal RNA is filed under the name uncultured bacterium. Its description in RNAcentral is "partial 16S ribosomal RNA". It matches the Rfam family "Bacterial small subunit ribosomal RNA", at positions 1301 to 1500 of the family's 1533-position model. The record is from RNAcentral.
CAGGCUGAAAUUACGCCUGCAUGAAGCCGGAAUUGCUGGUAAUGGCAGGUCAGCAUACUGCCGUGAAUACGUUCCCGGGCCUUGUACACACCGCCCGUCACACCAUGAGAGUUGGGGAUACCCAAAGCCCGUGAGCCAACUUUAAAAGAGGCAGCGGUCUAAGGUAGAAUCAAUGAUUGGGGUGAAGUCGUAACAAGGUACC